CUACGGGAGGCUCCAGUGAGGAAUAUUGCACAAUGGGGGAAACCCUGAUGCAGCAACGCCGCGUGGAGGAUGACGCAUUUCGGUGUGUAAACUCCUUUUAUGAGUCAAGAAAAUGACGGUAGCUCAUGAAUAAGCACCGGCUAACUCCGUGCCAGCAGCGGUAAUACGGAGGGUGCAAGCGUUACUCGGAAUCACUGGGCGUAAAGGACGCGUAGGCGGGCUUUCAAGUCAGGUGUGAAAUCCUACAGCUUAACCGUAGAACUGCACUUGAAACUGGGAGCCUAGAGUAUGGGAGGGGGAGAUGGAAUUAGUGGUGUAGGGGUAAAAUCCGUAGAUAUCACUAGGAAUACCGAAAGCGAAGGCGAUCUCCUGGAACAUUACUGACGCUAAGGCGUGAAAGCGUGGGGAGCAAACAGGAUUAGAUACCCUCGUAGUC
This 436-nucleotide ribosomal RNA is filed under the name uncultured bacterium. RNAcentral describes it as "partial 16S ribosomal RNA". It matches the Rfam family "Bacterial small subunit ribosomal RNA", at positions 339 to 795 of the family's 1533-position model. The record is from RNAcentral.